RNAcentral lists this ribosomal RNA (253 nucleotides) under uncultured bacterium. RNAcentral's name for it is "partial 16S ribosomal RNA". It matches the Rfam family "Bacterial small subunit ribosomal RNA", at positions 524 to 776 of the family's 1533-position model. The record is from RNAcentral.
GACAGAGGUGCCAAGCGUUAGGCGGAAUCACUGGGCUUAAAGCGUGUGUAGGCGGAUCGUUAAGUACCUUGUGAAAUCCCACGGCUCAACCGUGGAACUGCUGGGUAUACUGGCGAUCUUGAGCCACCUAGGGGCGAGCGGAACAAGCGGUGGAGCGGUGAAAUGCGUAGAUAUCGAGAGGAACACCUGCGGCGAAGGCGGGUUGCUGGGCUGAUACUGACGCUGAGGCGCGAAAGCCAGGGGAGCGAUCCGG